UGCGUAGGUGGUCUUUUAAGUCAGAAGUGAAAGGCAUUGGCUCAACCAAUGUAAGCUUUUGAAACUGAAAGACUUGGGUGCAGGAGAGGUAAGUGGAAUUCCUAGUGUAGCGGUGAAAUGCGUAGAUAUUAGGAGGAACACCAGUGGCGAAGGCGACUUACUGGACUGUUACUGACACUGAGGCACGAAAGCGUGGGGAGCGAACAGGAUUAGAUACCCUGGUAGUCC
This 228-nucleotide ribosomal RNA is filed under the name uncultured bacterium. RNAcentral's name for it is "partial 16S ribosomal RNA". It matches the Rfam family "Bacterial small subunit ribosomal RNA", at positions 568 to 796 of the family's 1533-position model. The record is from RNAcentral.